This 221-nucleotide ribosomal RNA is filed under the name uncultured microorganism. Its description in RNAcentral is "partial 16S ribosomal RNA". It matches the Rfam family "Archaeal small subunit ribosomal RNA", at positions 330 to 552 of the family's 1478-position model. The record is from RNAcentral.
GCGCACCAGGCGCGAAUCCUCCGCAAUGCUCGAAAGAGCGACGGGGGACUCCAAGUGCCUACGCUCAGCGUAGGCUGUUCCCGAGCCUAAAAGCUCGGGGAGUAAGGGCUGGGUAAGACGGGUGCCAGCCGCCGCGGUAAUACUCGGCAGCCCGAGUGGUGGCCGCUAUUAUUGGGCCUAAAGCGUCCGUAGCCGGCUUCAGUAAAUGCCUGGGUAAAUCG